AGAAUGCAUCAGUGGAGCAUCUCUAUGACGACUAUAAGCUCACUUGUUGGGAGCUGUGUGUGUGUGUUAACCGCUGCCCCGAAAUUGCCUAUGUAGCAGCAGGGGUGUGUGUGUGUGUGUGUGUGUGUGUGUGUGUGUGUGUGUGUGUGUGUGUAGCUAUGGUGUGUGUUCCCUGCAUCCCCAGAAUGGCGUGUGUGCACAGCGUGCGUUCUCCUCUAGAAUGUAAGAACUCAGAGACGGAGAUUUUCCGAGUGAAAUCCAGAUGCGAGGGACUCAGUCCACUCAGAGGAAACACUGACCAAUGGCAGUCCAUGUGACGCUUGAGAGGAACGAGUGACUAGAAGAAUAAAUAAAUAAACAACUAAAUAAGCUAAAGGACCCAAACCACAGGUGAGGUGGAGCGUCACCACAGCGCAACCACAGGUGAGGUGGAGCGUCUCCACACAGCGCAACCACAGGUGAGGUGGAGCGUCUCCACACAGCGCAACCACAGGUGAGAUGGAGCGUCUCCACACAGCGCAACCACAGGUGAGGUGGAGCGUCACCACAGGUGAGGUGGAGCAACUUAAAGGCCAGAGACGUUCCAACAGCGGCGACACACCGUCACGCCGGAUCUCUCUGGAACCAUAGGGUAGAACGGUUCUGCCCAUUUUAAAAGACUUUGAACCGACCUGUCAUGGAACGACAGGUGUAUAUAUAUUUCCUUCUAAUUUAUGGGCCGACCGACCUUGGAGCGUGUUUUAGAUUGUAUUUGUUCUUUAAAUACUGCAGUACUUGCCAUCUGUACAUGUUCGUCUUCACAUGUUAAACAAUUAUGUUUCCUAUAUUGUUUUUUUAUGGAUUGUACAUGAACUGCUGUGCUUGUGCUAAGUUAUGUUGACACAAAGUGUCACUUGUGAAUGUUCUCAAGAUCACAACAAAUCUUCAGUUCUCAUAUUGACCGGGUAACGCCCCUUAAAUACAGAGUUAGAGUCUUUACUACAGGGGGGCCACUGCGUAAAGAUAGUUAAUGACUUAACUAGUCGGGGACAUCACUUUAAAGAUAGUUAAUGACUUAACUAGUCGGGGGACAUCACUUUAAAGAUAGUCAGUGACUUAACUAGUCGGGGGACAUCACUUUAAAGAUAGUCAGUGACUUAACUAGUGAGGGACAUCAUCUUAAAGUUAAGAGUCAAUAACUUAUUUGCCAUCUACCCUAGAGAUAGACAAGAGGAUAUACAGUAUAUCCUUCUCUUCUCUAUGAGUGCAAUAACCAGUUAGCCUACAGUUAGCCUAUGGCUGAAAGGCUACCUGGCCUAACCCACUUCCAGUGAGUUAUGCUACGCUAUGCUAAUGGUGUCAGACUGAGUUAUUGCGCUCACAAAGAAGAGAAGGAUAUGUGUCCUCUAAUCUAACUCUAGGGUAGACAGCACAUAAGCUUAUUUCCCAAAAGGUGGCGUCCUUUACUGUAGAGGGAACCUCGUCUUCAGUGACUCCCAAAAGGUGACCUGCUCCUUUACUGUAGUCUUUAGUGACUGGCCGACUCUCAUUCUCCCAAUCCACCUCUUCACUUGAGGGUUCUCUCCACAGCCCCUCCUCUCCCAAAAUAUGGAGUCUGCACAUGUGGUUGCACGACAGGGAUAGGAUGAGUUUCUGAAAGUGAUUGGUUGGAUGCUCGUACUCCGUUACUAUUUUUUUUUUGGCCCCCGACACCCCGCUCUCUGCUGAAAGCUUUUGAAAUGUGUGUACUUUGUAGUGUGUGACAAAGAUGUCCUGCACUGAAACCAUUGAGGCUACCUUUACGUCUGAGACACACACACACACACACACACAGCAGCAACAGAGCAUCUCCUUGCGUCCAGAGACGGACCUCUUUGUUUAGAAGUCAUCUUGAUCUCAUACCUUUGCCAGGAAGAAAUUGGUCAAAUCACAGACGAUGACUGGAGUUUUUGAAGUUUACGUGGGUGUGUACGACUGCAUUUAUAUAUACUAUAUGAAGGUUAUGCAUGUGUCCAGAGAAUUCAGCCCCCUUGUACAUGUGUAUUUUUAAAAACCAGUGUAAAUGAAGUAAUGCAAAAAACCUGUACAAUUUGAUUUGUAUUUAAAGUGUGUGGCCCCUGCUAUGAUGUGUUAUUUAAGAGUCCUAGAGAGAUGAAAGCAGUCUGUGAUGUUUUGUAAGGUGUGAAGCGCUGAAGCGCUGCCUUUAGUGAGCCCGUGCCGCACACACACACACAC
Long non-coding RNA from Alosa alosa (allis shad), 2214 nucleotides. RefSeq lists it as uncharacterized. Lineage: Eukaryota; Metazoa; Chordata; Actinopteri; Clupeiformes; Clupeidae. The transcript is spliced from 2 exons. The record is from RefSeq and is a predicted model, not a curated record.